Long non-coding RNA from Cimex lectularius (bed bug), 3545 nucleotides. RefSeq lists it as uncharacterized. The transcript is spliced from 3 exons. NCBI's taxonomy places the organism in Eukaryota, Metazoa, Arthropoda, Insecta, Hemiptera, Cimicidae. The record is from RefSeq and is a predicted model, not a curated record.
GAGGAGAAAGCUCUUUGCUCAAUAGGCCAGGCGUCUCAAGGGGGCAAGGUCCGGAGUUUACAAAGGCAAAAAGAAACAAUUCUCUACAUUUAUUAUCGUUUUCCAACAGUCAAAAAUUAUAUUCAACAGGGGAACGCAGUAUUGACUUGAUUAUCUUGAACUAUACUGAUUGGAACAAAUUCAGUUUAUAUGUUGGCGUGUGUUUCUUUAAAAGAAAAGGCUCGGCAGCAUCCCGCAGGAUCUAUGCCAGGAAUAGCUUCUUUCUUUACAAUAAUAAAAUUCGUAGUAAAGUAAACUAAUAAAUUGAAUUCCUUAUGGUUAUACACUGUGUGGAUAAAUUUUAUUUUGUUGAUGACAGAGAAAAAAGGACUAAUCAUACGAGAGCGAGUGAAACUCAUUUGCCAAAAAUAAAAAAAUGCUUCACAAUAUCUCCAAAGAAAUUGAUAAGAAAAUUAUCCUUCACAUCCGAAACAGCGAGGACCCGUUGAACGAUUUCUGAUAGCCGUCCCAACUCAAUUUAGUCCUUCACGACUCGCCGCUUCCAGUACAUGUCACAACGACAAAUUAUAUUCCGUGGAACUUGGCCAGGGUGGAAACAUAGAGACUGAAAGGAAGCUGUCAAUUCAAAGGACCUUUGCUGCCGAUGUAUUGAGACACAUGAUCACUGAUAAACGCAUGACGAUAUUUCUCCAAUACAACUAUUCGCACUUUUUGUUAAACAGCCAUUUUCACUCGUUCUCAGCCUUCAUUCAUGCAUAUCACAGCUAUAUAAUGCUAUAAUUCAGCUAUAUACUAAAAUGACAAUACUAUUAAAUAAUAAUCUAAUGUAUAUAAAUGUGAUUUAAUAUUUUUAAUAACAAUAAACAACUAUUGUAGAUUACCUUUUUUUUCUUUUUUUUUUAAAUGCCAACUACCUUCUGCAAUUUUGAGUACUGAUUCUGAACUACUUGAUACAAGAAAAUUAGAUUAAUUCUAAAGUUUUAUGGCAUCUUAACUUUCAUAUAAUUAAUUUAUAAUUACUAGCAUAUCUCAAUCAUAUUGUGGAUCUCAAAAGUUAAGUUGAUUUAAUCUGUGUAUUGUUCCUAGUAUUUUUUAUUUAUUUAAUUUUUUUUUAAACCCAACUUAAUGUUUGAAAUCCUUUUUUUUUUUUUUUAUAAAGAAGCAUCAGAUAUAACUUUAAAGCUCCGUAAAAGCAGAAGGUUCUGGUGAAAACUGGGGUUUUAGUACUCAUUAAAAUAAAUUGAAUAUCAAACCGGAAAAGAGAUAAUAAAUGAAAAUUUUAUCUUUUCAUAUUAUCAACAGGAAAGCAUUAAUUUUUUUAACAAAAAUUUCUCACAAGUAAUAUCACAAUGUUCAAUUUUUGCUGACGUAUCACAAUCAGCACUUACAUUUUCAAACAUUAAAAAAUCACAAUGGACAUUGUUCAAGAAAUAUUUUUAAUUAUCAAACUGAGAGAGAUUCAGUUGUCUUUUUUCCUAAUUUUUUGGAGAGUCUGCUCUUUAUAGCUGCAUCGAUACAUGAUACAAUGUAUUAAGAGUUAUUAAUUUCUACAUAGCAUUCAUUACAAUAUAAUGGUUAAACAAAUUUAACUUUUAGUGCAAUUUUCACUUGUUAGUUGUGCUAAAGAUAUGACAUGCGUUUGUUAAUGUUCAAUUUGCUACGAAUUCGUUCAGUGGUAAACCCCAACUUUCUACCAAGUGAGAAUUGGUGAACUUACCCGAGACGUGGAAUUCCUCCGAAUAUUGUGAAAAUUGUGUGAGCACAGAGAAUAAAGAGAAAAGUUUUGUAGCUGUUAGUACAACACUCAAGCUUAAGACUAAUGUUACUUGAUUCUCAAAACUUAAUUUAAAAAAUAAAAUAAAAUAAAAACAGGUAACUCAAAGAUGACAACUUGCUUCACAGAAUUUAUUACUUCAAUUACAUUGUUUUCAAAUGUAAUAAAAAUCAAUAGAAAAGGAGAGAGACAACAGAAAAGGUUACAGCUCUCUUUUUUCCAUUUUUUUUAAAACUUUUUUAUUAACAAUAGUGCAAAGUGAUGUAUCACAGUGCCACUCCACUACCCACUCAUUGCAAAAUCGAAUUCACUGUAUUCAUAAGGAGAAAACAUGUUAGUCAAUUGGGUUACACACAAAGGUUUGUUACAAAAUGUGAAGCGCCCACAUAAAAAUAUACAUUUUUUCAAAUAUAUUUCAUACACAAUAUUUACUUAUGUAAUAUCUAAUUGUCAUCUAAGAUCACAUAAAUGUCACAUUGGCACAAUACCACCUAAUUUAUUUAUUUCUGAGACUAUUUAAUUAUCCUAAAUGUACAAAAAAAAUUAGAUAAAAGACUCGAAAUUUUAACAACUUUUUUUCGGGGGAGGGAGGAGGACAAACAGCAAAAUCUCUUCACAACCCUGUAGAGAAAAUGUAACUACUAGACAAACAGGAUGAUGAAUCGUACUAAUGCCGAUAAGACCAAUCCGCUUCUUCAGACAUCUUUUCAUACUAUUACAAUUCAGUUAAAAUUAUCUUUAGGAAUUUAGAGGGUGGAACGGUUAUGUACAAUGUCUGACAGGACGGAAACCACACCUUAUACACAUAAAUCAGAUUGUAUUGUCUUAAAAACAUUGUACAGUACAUUAAUUUUAUUUAGAAUAUUGUUUCUCUAGAUAUUUUUUAAAAAUUAUUAAAUGCUGAUAUGGAUAUAUUAUAUCCAUCACAGAUAAAAAUUUAUGUUUUAAUUACAUUAGGAUUUCUUUGACAAAAUUGACACUAUAUGUCACGUCACUGUACUGUAACAAAAUCAAGGAAAUAUUAAGAUUAUUUUCUAUUAUGCUAAUACUUUCUCAUUAUUUAUUUAUUCACAAUCAGUUACCUUCAUUUUUUGUAACAUUGUAUUAUUAAAGUAUUGAAAAAAUCUCACACACCAGAACUACAUUAAUUUUAAAAGCAAUAAGAAAUGUUUGUACUUUAAGGUAAAAAGUAUUCAGAAAAAAAUGAAAUAGCACAAUAAACUAACGCAGAAAAACUUCUAGUGGUGAAACAAUCAGACAAGAACAAAAAACAAUUUAUAUUCCACUCACAAGGUGAGACUGACAAAACAUCAGCGAGAAUUCAAAAACUGAGCAAUAAUAUGUUCAUCUACUUGUCUAUAUCUAUGUAACAAAUUAAUAUAUCUAAAGACAAACAAGUUAAAAAAAGAACAGAUUAACGUCUAAGAGUUAUCACAAGCGAUUUGAGACAUGGCUAAAACGCCCCAUCAACCCAGAUGAGACGUUCACAAACACAAGAUAUGAACACUCAAAUUACACCCAGUACCCUCAUUUUUUAAUUUAUCGCAGGAAAAAUAUGCAAGUUUCCCUCAGUUUAAAAACUUGAGCCAAUCAACAUUUUUAACCAGUUGUGUUUAGAAACACAUUAUAAUAUGAAUAUUAAUAAGAUCUAUGAAAAAGUGUUAUUUUAAUAUUGCAUAUUGUCAAUUUGAUUGAGUAAAUAGAACAAAAAGAAAGCAUCUUUAUAAGAAAAUAUGUAAACCUUUAGUUCUGUAAGUUUUUUUUUUUUUUU